Molecule: non-coding RNA, 26 nt
Filed under: Mus musculus (house mouse)
Lineage: Eukaryota; Metazoa; Chordata; Mammalia; Rodentia; Muridae
Source: RNAcentral
UGUUAACCGCUGAGCCAUCUCUCCAG